RNAcentral lists this ribosomal RNA (253 nucleotides) under uncultured prokaryote. Its description in RNAcentral is "partial 16S ribosomal RNA". It matches the Rfam family "Bacterial small subunit ribosomal RNA", at positions 525 to 777 of the family's 1533-position model. The record is from RNAcentral.
ACGGAGGGGGCUAGCGUUGUUCGGAAUUACUGGGCGUAAAGCGCACGUAGGCGGCUUUGUAAGUUAGAGGUGAAAGCCCAGGGCUCAACCCUGGAAUUGCCUUUAAGACUGCAUCGCUUGAACAUCGGAGAGGUAAGUGGAAUUCCGAGUGUAGAGGUGAAAUUCGUAGAUAUUCGGAAGAACACCGGUGGCGAAGGCGGCCUGCUGGGCUAUAGCUGACACUGAGGCGCGACAGCGUGGGGAGCAAACAGGA